UCAUUAUUGAAAUAAACCUGAUGAGUUGCUGCUGGUUCUCUAGGGAGCAUGUGCACACUUGUCAUCUUUAUAUCUCCACCUGUGAACCUUUUGUAGACCUGGAUACCUCUCUCUGAAUGCCUGACAGAUUCGGGGUUUGAGGAUUGAUUUUUUCUUUCCUUGCAUUUUCAGGUCUAUGUUUUUUCAUAUACCCCCAUGUAUGUUUAUAGAAUGUAAUAAACAGGCCUUUGUGCCUAUAAAUUUAUACAACUUUCAGCAACGGAUCUCUUGGCUCUCGCAUCGAUGAAGAACGCAGCGAAAUGCGAUAAGUAAUGUGAAUUGCAGAAUUCAGUGAAUCAUCGAAUCUUUGAACGCACCUUGCGCUCCUUGGUAUUCCGAGGAGCAUGCCUGUUUGAGUGUCAUUAAUAUAUCAACCCUCUUCAGCUUUUUUGCAUGACGAGCGUUGGAUGUGGGGGUUUUUUGCUGGACUCUUUCUAUUGAUUGAGGUCAGCUCUCCUAAAAUGCAUUAGCAAAACAAUUUGUUUACCGCUCAUUGGUGUGAUAAUUAUCUACGCUAUUGACAGUAAAGCACAGUUUAGCUUCUAACAGUCCAUUGACUUGGACAACCUUUUUAUCAAUGUGACCUC
Molecule: unclassified non-coding RNA, 626 nt
Filed under: uncultured Cortinarius
Lineage: Eukaryota; Fungi; Basidiomycota; Agaricomycetes; Agaricales; Cortinariaceae
Description: sequence contains ITS1, 5.8S rRNA gene and ITS2
Rfam family: 5.8S ribosomal RNA (bases 248-401)
Source: RNAcentral